RNAcentral lists this non-coding RNA (19 nucleotides) under Arabidopsis thaliana (thale cress). The record is from RNAcentral. Lineage: Eukaryota; Viridiplantae; Streptophyta; Magnoliopsida; Brassicales; Brassicaceae.
UGAUAGGUGUUGUGGUCUC